GACGAACCGUGCGAACGUUGUUCGGAUUCACUGGGCUUAAAGGGCGCGUAGGCGGGCCGUCAAGUCAGGGGUGAAAGCCCCCAGCUCAACUGGGGAAGUGCCUCUGAGGCUGACGGUCUCGAGGGGGAUAGGGGCAUGCGGAACUCUCGGUGGAGCGGUGAAAUGCGUAGAUAUCGGGAGGAACACCUGUGGCGAAAGCGGCUCACUGGACCACAACUGACGCUGAGGCGCGAAAGCUAGGGGAGCAAACAGG
RNAcentral lists this ribosomal RNA (253 nucleotides) under uncultured bacterium. Its description in RNAcentral is "partial 16S ribosomal RNA". It matches the Rfam family "Bacterial small subunit ribosomal RNA", at positions 524 to 776 of the family's 1533-position model. The record is from RNAcentral.